RNAcentral lists this ribosomal RNA (255 nucleotides) under uncultured bacterium. Its description in RNAcentral is "partial 16S ribosomal RNA". It matches the Rfam family "Bacterial small subunit ribosomal RNA", at positions 524 to 776 of the family's 1533-position model. The record is from RNAcentral.
GACGAACCGUGCGAACGUUAUUCGGAAUCACUGGGCUUAAAGCGCGUGUAGGCGGGCCGGCACGUCGGUCGCUGAAAUCCCCCGGCUCAACCGGGGAAGGGGCGCCGAUACGACCGGCCUGGAGGGGGGGUAGGGGGCGCUGGAACUCACGGUGGAGCGGUGAAAUGCGUUGAGAUCGUGAGGAACGCCCGCGGCGAAAGCGAGCGCCUGGACCCUUUCUGACGCUGAGACGCGAAAGCCAGGGGAGCGAACGGG